UAUGACUCUCGGCAAUGGAUAUCUUGGCUCUUGCAUCGAUGAAGAGCGCAGCGAAAUGCGAUACGUGGUGUGAAUUGCAGAAUCCCGUGAACCAUCGAGUUUUUGAACGCAAGUUGCGCCCGAGGCCAAUUGGCUAAGGGCACGUCCGCCUGGGCGUCAAGC
RNAcentral lists this ribosomal RNA (162 nucleotides) under Achlydosa glandulosa. Its description in RNAcentral is "5.8S ribosomal RNA". It matches the Rfam family "5.8S ribosomal RNA". From Rfam's summary of the family: 5.8S ribosomal RNA (5.8S rRNA) is a component of the large subunit of the eukaryotic ribosome. It is transcribed by RNA polymerase I as part of the 45S precursor that also contains 18S and 28S rRNA. The record is from RNAcentral. Lineage: Eukaryota; Viridiplantae; Streptophyta; Magnoliopsida; Asparagales; Orchidaceae. RNAcentral also lists the same sequence under 5 other names.